Molecule: ribosomal RNA, 274 nt
Filed under: uncultured bacterium
Lineage: Bacteria
Description: partial 16S ribosomal RNA
Rfam family: Bacterial small subunit ribosomal RNA
Source: RNAcentral
AUACGGAGGGGGCUAGCGUUGUUCGGAAUUACUGGGCGUAAAGCGCGUGUAGGCGGAUCGUUAAGUCAGGGGUGAAAGCCCGGAGCCCAACUCCGGAAUUGCCCUUGAUACUGGCGAUCUAGAGGCCGGGAGAGGUGAGCGGAAUUCCCAGUGUAGAGGUGAAAUUCGUAGAUAUUGGGAGGAACACCAGUGGCGAAGGCGGCUCACUGGCCCGGUUCGGACGCUGAGACGCGAAAGCGUGGGGAGCAAACAGGAUUAGAAACCCCAGUAGUCC